This 215-nucleotide long non-coding RNA is filed under the name Elaeis guineensis (African oil palm). RNAcentral describes it as "long non-coding RNA (EGUI_LNC034606)". Lineage: Eukaryota; Viridiplantae; Streptophyta; Magnoliopsida; Arecales; Arecaceae. The record is from RNAcentral.
GCUUGGCCAUGGCUUCUACUUGGGCUGCUGACGUGCCCCCUAGAGAUCAUAUUGAUGACACCCAUUGUAGGUCAAUUCUAAGGAUUUGCUUUGGAUUUUUGGGGUUUAGUUCGUGCAUCAUUCUAAUUCAACCACACAUCCAUGUACCACCUAAGCCGACCUCAUCUAAUGAAUGUCUUGAUCUCAUCACAAAGCUGCAUACACUCGUCAGUAUU